This 1224-nucleotide long non-coding RNA is filed under the name Chrysolophus pictus (golden pheasant). RNAcentral describes it as "lncRNA (ENSCPIG00010000228.1)". Lineage: Eukaryota; Metazoa; Chordata; Aves; Galliformes; Phasianidae. The record is from RNAcentral.
ACAUUUAUGGCACCAAUGUGCCAUGGAACCAGCAUUUGUGGCACCAAUGUCCCAUGGAACCAGCAUUUGUGGCACCAACGUGCCAUGGAACCAGCAUUUAUGGCACCAAUGUCCCAUUGAACCAGCAUUUGUGGCACCAAUGUCCCAUGGAACCAGCAUUUAUGGCACCAACGGGCCAUGGAACCAGCAUUUAUGGCACCAAUAGGCCAUGGAACCAGCAUUUAUGGCACCAACGUCCCAUGGAACCAGCAUUUAUGGCACCAAUGGGCCAUGGAACCAGCAUUUAUGGCACCAGUGUUCCAUGGAACCAGCAUUUAUGGUACCAAUGUCCCAUGGAACCAACAAUUAUGGCACCAAUGUCCCAUGGAACCAGCAUUUAUGGCACCAACACCUCCAUCGCACCGAUGUCAGACAGAACCAACAUCUCAAGACACCAAGCUGUGCCCGAAUGCCACAGACCCCAAGUUUUCCUCUACAAGAGCCACUGACCCCAGUUUUUGUGCUAUAAAUGCCACAGACCCCCAGUUUUGGGGCUCUCGAAGCCACAGACCCCCAGUUUUGGGGCUCUCGAAGCCACAGACCCCCAGUUUUCCUCCCCUCACCUCCGGGUCGCAGCUCUGCCCCGCCAGCGGGCACGCCGACUCGUUGAAGAUUUUGUACACUGCUUCGUUGGAGGUGGAGAGGAAACUGCGCGCAGCUUCGUUAAGGAAACACCAACCAGCAAAGGAACCCCAAAGGAACCCCAAAAGGGGAAACGGGAAGUGGGAAGGGAAAUGGGGAAGGAGGGAAGGGGAAACAAAGGGGGGAGGGUAGGGGAGAAGGAGGGGAGGGAAUGGGGAGAAGGAAGGGAGAAGGAAGUGGGAGGGAAGGGAAGGGAAACAAAAGGGAAAAGGGGAAAUAAGGGGGUGUGGGAAGGGGAAAUAAGGGGGUGUGGGAAGGGGAAAUAAGGGGGUGUGGGAAGGGGAAAUAAGGGGGUGUGGGAAGGGGAAAUAAGGGGGUGUGGGAAGGGGAAAUAAGGGGGUGUGGGAAGGGGAAAUAAGGGGGUGUGGGAAGGGGAAAUAAGGGGGUGUGGGAAGGGGAAAUAAGGGCGUACGGGAAGGGGAAAUAAUGGGGUGUGGGAAGAAAAACAAAAGGAGAAGGGGGAAAAGGAAAAAAGAUGGAAGGGGAAAGGAAAGGGGAAAGGAAGAGAAAGGUAAAGGGAAGGAAAAAAGAAGUGGGAAGGGG